UUUAAAUGAAAUUAUCAGUUAAAAACAAUAAUGAAAAUAAAGUAAAGUUAAGAAAAAACAGUAUACGGAUGACUAUAAUAUAUUAAGAUACACAUGCAUAUAUGGUCUGUCAGUCAGCCCGACUGCUGAAGUCAGUGAGUCUUAUAAAUGUAGAGAUACUCCAGCUUUAUUUUCAUCGUUAUUAAUAUUAUUUUCUUUGUUGAAUUUUUUUUAUUUACUUGCCUCGUUUCGCUGGUGUGGUGUUGUUUAAGUUGGGUUACAAGCCAUCGAGGGUUCACAAACAGAUAAACCAAUCAACAAAUAAUAUUCUACAUACAUAUAAACAUGUAUGGCAAAAAAUAAAAGUAUAUAAAUUUAUUUAUUA
This is a long non-coding RNA of Lucilia cuprina (Australian sheep blowfly), 364 nucleotides long. RefSeq lists it as uncharacterized. The transcript has 2 exons. The record is from RefSeq and is a predicted model, not a curated record. Lineage: Eukaryota; Metazoa; Arthropoda; Insecta; Diptera; Calliphoridae.